This 702-nucleotide long non-coding RNA is filed under the name Cyanistes caeruleus (blue tit). RNAcentral describes it as "lncRNA (ENSCCEG00000021050.1)". Lineage: Eukaryota; Metazoa; Chordata; Aves; Passeriformes; Paridae. The record is from RNAcentral.
AUGAAGCAUCUCAGGGCAAGGCCAGAGAGGAGAGAGAGAGACAGUGGAUUUCUUUUGGCUAGUAUCUCUCUCUUGUCUUUGCAGCCAACACCUGGGGGUGCAGUUAUGCAAGGUUGGAAUGAAUCCAGACAUAGAGAGUUCCAGGUCUGGAGCUCAAUUUCUUACCAAUAUUUUACAACUCAGAGUGAGAGAGAAACAAAGAUCUUUAAAGGAGACUGGCAGAAUAUGGUACUCAUAAAUCCAAGCUGGACAAAAGUGUGUGGAGUUUUUUCCUGUCAUGUCUCUGUUCAGGAACCUCCUCAUCCAAUUUCAACCACACCUGACAGCAGUAAUCACCCCCAAAGCACUCUGCUUUGGCAAAAUUCAUGGAAAACUGAGAGUCAAAAAGAAAGAACUCUUGGUGCCCCUGCAUGGCAAAAGGAUGGGGCAAGAAUUCACUCAUUGGUCAUGACUGGAGUGCUGGAUCAGAAAAUCAGCCUGAAGCCCCCAUCUCAGCCCCCAGAAAUCCUAUCUCUACUGCCACCAUGGUUUGUUUCCUUCCCUUGCAGGCAGCCUGAAGUCCAGGUCUUCCUCAGACACUUCAGUGGCCUGAACUGUGAGAGAAGCAGCCUUGUUUACAGCUCACUCUUCCAUGUAGACGUCUUACUGGCCACCAGGAAAAAUGCUAAUGACAACAUUUUAACUCUCCUGGAUUUAAACUGA